Molecule: ribosomal RNA, 301 nt
Filed under: uncultured bacterium
Lineage: Bacteria
Description: partial 16S ribosomal RNA
Rfam family: Bacterial small subunit ribosomal RNA
Source: RNAcentral
CAGCAGCCACGGGAAUACGGAGGGGGCUAGCGUUGUUCGGAAUUACUGGGCGUAAAGGGCGUGUAGGCGGCCUGGGGCGUCCCAUGUGAAAGGCCACGGCUCAACCGUAGAGGAGCGUGGGAUACGCUCAGGCUAGAGGGUGGGAGAGGGUGGUGGAAUUCCCGGAGUAGCGGUGAAAUGCGCAGAUACCGGGAGGAACGCCGAUGGCGAAGGCAGCCACCUGGUCCACUUCUGACGCUGAGGCGCGAAAGCGUGGGGAGCAAACCGGAUUAGAUACCCGCGUAGUCCCUGUCUCUUAUAC